RNAcentral lists this ribosomal RNA (252 nucleotides) under uncultured bacterium. RNAcentral describes it as "partial 16S ribosomal RNA". It matches the Rfam family "Bacterial small subunit ribosomal RNA", at positions 524 to 776 of the family's 1533-position model. The record is from RNAcentral.
UACGUAGGGUGCAAGCGUUGUCCGGAAUUAUUGGGCGUAAAGAGCUCGUAGGCGGUUUGUCGCGUCGAAUGUGAAAACCCGGGGCUCAACCCCGGGCCUGCAUUCGAUACGGGCAGACUAGAGUUCGGUAGGGGAGUCUGGAAUUCCUGGUGUAGCGGUGAAAUGCGCAGAUAUCAGGAGGAACACCGGUGGCGAAGGCGGCUCCUGGCCUACUACUGACGCUGUGGCGCGAAAGCUGGGGGAGCGAACGGG